CUCACUGUAAAAGAUACAGUGAGACAACCAAUGCUGAGUUGGUUAUAGCAUUUGCCAAAAUCUCUGUGAUCUAAUUGUACCUGCCUCUGGCACAACUUUGUGUAUUAUUUAUAAAACCAGUUACCUCAUAUUAUAAGAAGGUAGUUCAACCAGGUAUCAUCAGUUUUAAAAUACAGAAAUACUCUAUACACAAAAAACUGAUUUUCUCAUUAAACAUCCAAUAGCUUAGUGCAUUGCUAAUGUAUUUUAUAUUUGUUGAUCAUUUAUGAUUUUGAAUUGCACAUACUUGUAGUGUCAAUCAAAGCUUGUCGUUUGCAGGUGUUGACUUUGCUAUUUGGCACAUUUCCCUGUUUUCUUUUAGAUUUUUGUUUUUCCAAAAUAUUCAACUAGUUUAGACAUGCCCUCAUUGCAUAAUGCAAUUAAAAUGACUAAGUUUGUUAUAAAUCUUGCAGUUGUGUUGAAACUGAUACAACAGACAACAAGGUAGAUGUAUUUGCCAGUAGGUUUAUUGAUGUUUUUUGCUAUGGGACAUGGAGGUCUCCAUGUCUAUGGCCAUGAAUGUCUUGUGAUGCCCAGGACAAACUCAGCCACCUUUGCCUACAAGGGUGAGGAGGUCAUACUGAACUGUUCAGUAGAUUUGCAAGUACCAGCCAAAAACAUAGAACAAGUGAACUGGAAAAGGGAGGACGGAGACCAAAAUGUCCUUGUCCUGCUUUAUCAAACCAAUCAUACCAUCUCUGAUUCCUCACAUGAAAGGUACAAGAAAAGAGUUGAGCUCUUUUCUUCUGAAAUCUCCAAAGGGAACUUCUCACUCAAGCUGAUGGAUGUACAGCUGGAAGAUAAAGGAACAUACAUAUGUGAGGUCUUCGCUAUGAACAGGUCUACACGGAUCUGUGUGAAUCUGGAUGGCGUAGGUUUCACCACACCGCAUAUAUCAAUAUUUGUUCUUUGCUCUGUUGCGCUGGUGCUUGCAGUGGGAUUUUUUGGUCCUGUUUGGAACCUACUGAGAAAGAAAGGUUCUACUUCACAAGACUUGACAAUGCCCAUUUUUCUGAUCCUUUGUCCAAACAUCUGCAUGUUUGCAGCUUUCAUCUUGUGGUCAACAGAAGCCUUACCCCCAGAGAUCAUUGCUUGUUCAAGUGUCAAUCUCAUGAGGCCUCUCAUGCUGCUGAAAACAUCUACUUAUCUCAACAAGUUACCAAACUGCUUACAGAAAGCAGUAAAGGCUUUGGCUGUUCCACUUUAUCAUUCAACUGUAACAAUGGCCACAUGUUCAAUUUUCUUUGGAAAUGUUGCUAUGAUACAGAGACCAGCAGGACACACGGUAACAGUACUGAUCAUCUUUGCAGUGGGGACUUUCAUCAGUGCUAUUGUUUUAGCUGUCUAUGGUCUCCGGCUGCACCAGACUGUGUGUCUAGAAAUAUUUAACCUGGUCCUGUUUGGAUUUCUACUCAGCAGCAACCGAGACCCUUACAUCUACAUCACUGAGGCAAUUUGUGCAUUAGCACCUCCUGUCAUAGUGAUGCUGAUGGUCCUAUCACUACAAAAGCACUUUUUCCAAGGAGAAGCUUUUAGCUGUGUGCAAAUUGCUCUGUCAUCUAUUAUCGUGACUGUUUUCAGCCUAAACGUCAUUUGUAUUUACGUUCUUUUGUCUAUUACAUUACCAGAAUUUUACAAAAGAGGAUGGAUGAUUGCGUUUGAAGGUAUAUUGUUCAUAUUUGCAUGGUUAGUUUUGAGUUGUCUAUUGCGUCACUACCAAGGACAGAAUACAGGAUGCUGCCCUCAAUGGAGAAAAAAAGGAUAUUUUUGCUGCAGUGUCCUUGUUGCACUUCUAAUAAUUGUGGAUGGAAUUGUGUACUUUCAUUGUGUACAAAAAAUCAUGGAAGUGAAAGAUCUUGCUGGAUAUCUGGCUCUCACGCCAUUCAUACAUGUUUUGGCAGCAACAUGUUUGUUUAAACAUCCCGUAUAUUUACCGGAGUUCCUUCAUGCUAUGGUCUACAUGUUUGGAGCUGUAGGUCUCAGUACUGUAAAUGCAAUUGCUCUCAUUGCAGAACUGAUCCUGAAAGCAGAUAAAGGAGCACGGACUAUCGGCGAUCUCCGUGUGAUCGUUUUACCAGUUGAAACGGUGUUUGUUUCCGCUUGGCUCGCGUUACAGAUCUACGAUGCCUGGACGAGAUCGAAAGAAUAAUGCGCAAUUUUGAAGAUAUGAAGGGGAGAGAAAAAAAAGAGAGUAAUAUCACCUGAGACUAUUCAGCUGUCUUGAUGGUGUCAUGUGUUGGAUGGAUGGACUUUGAGUCAAAGCUUCUUGCAUUUCUUCUAGUGAGUCACUGACUCUGUCACACAGAAGCUACCAGGCGUGUUAAGAGAUCAAGUUACUAAAUUAAGGAGAUUUAGCAGCAAUACAGCAGAUGGUCACAAAUAAUCAAUGGACUACUGUAAUAAAGAAACAUUGUGAAAUGGUUUUACAUUUAUCCAUUGCUCCAGUUUUAUUAAUUAAAUAUAAAAUCAAUAUAAGUACACUUAGGAAGUAAUGGGGCUUUAUUUGAAAUCUAUAGAUCUGCUGUUUUAAGUCCUCUAUGUCCCUCUUUUAUCCAUUAAAAGUGUCAUAAAAUAAGAAUUGAUUCAAUGUAUAAAUGUAAACUUUUUGUGUUUUGUGGUGCAUUUUUUUUGUUUUAUGUCUAGAAACAUACAGUAUUAAUCAAUCAAUAUCAGUAUAAAUAUUUCAUAUGUUUUCACAUUAAAUGUAU
Molecule: RNA transcript, 2747 nt
Organism: Silurus meridionalis
Lineage: Eukaryota; Metazoa; Chordata; Actinopteri; Siluriformes; Siluridae
Exons: 18
Source: RefSeq, a predicted model, not a curated record